UGGGGAAUUUUGGACAAUGGGCGAAAGCCUGAUCCAGCAAUGCCGCGUGUGUGAAGAAGGCCUUCGGGUUGUAAAGCACUUUUGUCCGGAAAGAAAUCCUUGGCUCUAAUACAGUCGGGGGAUGACGGUACCGGAAGAAUAAGCACCGGCUAACUACGUGCCAGCAGCCGCGGUAAUACGUAGGGUGCAAGCGUUAAUCGGAAUUACUGGGCGUAAAGCGUGCGCAGGCGGUUUGCUAAGACCGAUGUGAAAUCCCCGGGCUCAACCUGGGAACUGCAUUGGUGACUGGCAGGCUAGAGUAUGGCAGAGGGGGGUAGAAUUCCACGUGUAGCAGUGAAAUGCGUAGAGAUGUGGAGGAAUACCGAUGGCGAAGGCAGCCCCCUGGGCCAAUACUGACGCUCAUGCACGAAAGCGUGGGGGAGCAAACAGGAUUAGAUACCCCUGGGUAGUCCACGCCCUAAACGAUGUCAACUAGUUGUUGGGGAUUCAUUUCCUUAGUAACGUAGCUAACGCGUGAAGUUGACCGCCUGGAGAGUACGGUCGCAAGAUUAAAACUCAAAGGAAUUGACGGGGUCAUAGCUGUUUCCU
This 588-nucleotide ribosomal RNA is filed under the name uncultured bacterium. Its description in RNAcentral is "partial 16S ribosomal RNA". It matches the Rfam family "Bacterial small subunit ribosomal RNA", at positions 355 to 1375 of the family's 1533-position model. The record is from RNAcentral.